Molecule: long non-coding RNA, 2386 nt
Organism: Phasianus colchicus (ring-necked pheasant)
Lineage: Eukaryota; Metazoa; Chordata; Aves; Galliformes; Phasianidae
Source: Ensembl
AAUUAUUCUAACAUUGCAGCGUUGGUUUUCUGGAAGGUCCCUGUUUGUCCCUUUCAAGUUAUUUCAGCUCUAUUCUAAGAACCAGGAAUACAAAGGAUGAAUAUUCAGUUUGGUGUCGCUUAUUCCUCUGAUCAUGUCAUUUCCCAACAGAGAAGUGCAAAUUUCCUUUCUCUAACAGCAACAUUUACUGCUGCAUAUUGGGAAGAAAAAAAUGUCAUUUCACCAGAUGCUCAGUUUUGAUAGGCCUGCACAGAAACCAGCCCGGACAGCAGACCAAGGAGCAGCAACAAAGGUCAUGAGAGCACUUUUUCUUCAAGCAAUGUGAAAAUGAUGGGGAUGUUAGAACAGUUUAUUAAAGAAACCAAACACAAUUCUGUGUCCUUGGUAGGUUUUUUUUUUCUGGCUGAUUGCAUUCUGGCAGGCUCAGAGAGAACACAGUGAUUAUGUACUAAAAGAGGUGCAUCUUCUUAUGCUUCAAGCAUGCUCUUCUCUCUGCCAUUAAUUGACCCCAUCACUCAGGUGUCCUCCAGCCCAUAUCACCCUUGCCCAAAGGCUGUCAGGCUGUGGUUGUAUCAGGAGGUCUUUCAACUUUGAGUCAUUUGCCUGUUUGGGAACCCAGCUGAGGUUAACCUCAGUUAAUUACCAGAUUGCUCUCAGGUGUGUUCUGUUGGGGGAUCUCAAACCAAUGCCCAGAGGACAAUGGAGCACCAUGCAGAUCCAUGUGAGCUGGAGCUGAGGGAGCUGCCUGGGAUUAAGUUCAUCACAGAGAACCAACUUGAAACAGUUUAUAAGUUGCGUGAACCCAUGGGAAGUGGUGAAGACAUGCAGCCCAAGGAGACACACUGCACUGUAUGGGGGAAUGUGUGUGAUACCCUUACCACAACAGAACCUGCGAUGAGUUACGAUGUGAAACAACCCUGCUCAGAACAAGAGAAACCACUGCUGCCUCCAGAGCUCUGCUGCUCCAAGGCCUCUCCAUCUGAUGACUGCUGCCAGAGAGCUGCAAACACUCUGAGCUGAGCUGAGCCUUCCUGGGUUUUGAUCCUCUGAGUGCCUGUGUAAACGUGGACCAGCUGCUUCCACCUUCCGUGCUUCCUGGAGUGGUUCCCAAACAAAAGCACGCUUGCUAUAAAUUUCCAGUGCCACUUUGGCAGCGCGUGUAUUGACUUUUCCAUUUUCCUUUUCUGGAUUUUGUUUCCUCUCACCUUUUAAGUUUCUUCCAUUUUCCCCAAGGGAGUACUUAUGUUCUCAGAUUAAAAACAGAAGUUUGUUCAGGUUGAUUGUUAGUAUGCUGUCAAACGGUAUUUUCCAUAUAAAAAUAUUUAUUUUACUUCAAACCACAUCUUUCUGAUGGAAGAAGGGUUUAAAAGAGUCGGCGUCUGGGAGCUUCUGUGCAUUAAUGUUUCAGUGGUUCUGUGAUUUCAUGGAGCAAAAUAAGAGUGCAGAGGGUAGCCCAUUUCUUUUGCUGCUGGCUUUUUCCCUUCUGAAGGUAGUGAAGCUCAGAUGUGAGAUGCAAGUGGACUCCAUGCUGCAGUCUCCCAGAGAACUGGAUAAUUCAAUGUACAUGAACAAUUAUCACCCAAAAAGGUUGACCUCAGUGAUCACCCCAGGUCCCUUCCAUCCCCUAUGACUCUGUGAUGCUGCUCCUUGGACACAAUGGCUGGUCUCUGGCUAUGGUGUAAACCCAGCAAAGCAGGAACAGCCCCACAGUAGCUGACCUUCCAGGUGGUGUUAUUGCAGUCGUGUGUUACGUAAUUGGAGGAGAAAGUGGUUUUAAUUGGGCUGCACACAGAUCUCCAGUGAAAUAGAUUUUUAACUUUUGAAAAUCAAUAGGUAGACUCAAUAUGCUGUAAAGAUUAGGGCUGUUACUGAUUAAAUAUCGCUCCUUCCUUCCCCGAGGGCAUAAAGUUUACCUCUUUAACUGCUUGAGCUCUUAAGAGAGGCUUCCAGAGAAGGGGAAGAAAUGUUAAUUUUCUCAGUAUUUAAAAGGAGUAAUCCUAUCAUACCUCUUUCUGUUCCCAGCCCCCCUGUGUAUAUUCCAAUUAAAAGCUCAACCUUCCGGAUUUUUCCAGAUCCACGUAGGUCUUUGAGAAUAACAUUAGCUGGUACUUUUUAAUGCGUUCUGAGUGCUUGGAGUGAUGUUUCCAAGCAGCUGAAGGCAUGGCUGUGGUUGGCAAGGCGGUGUGAAAAGUCCUUCAUCUCAAAGCACUGCUUUUCAUACAUGAGCACGAAUAUUUCCUCUUCUGCCUUGACAGCAUCCAUUUUGCAGAAAACAAUAAUGAGAGAGAAAACGGGAGGUUUUAUCCCAGGGCCAUGUCACCAAAGGCCAGGCUAGAGCCUGAAGCUUCGUAAUAAAGACAUCUGCCUGUCUUUAACUUGUUGUUCC